Molecule: ribosomal RNA, 301 nt
Filed under: uncultured bacterium
Lineage: Bacteria
Description: partial 16S ribosomal RNA
Rfam family: Bacterial small subunit ribosomal RNA
Source: RNAcentral
CAGUCGCCGCGGGAAUACGUAGGGUGCGAGCGUUAAUCGGAAUUACUGGGCGUAAAGCGUGCGCAGGCGGUUGUGUAAGACAGGUGUGAAAUCCCCGGGCUUAACCUGGGAACUGCGCUUGUGACUGCACAGCUAGAGUAUGGCAGAGGGGGGUGGAAUUCCACGUGUAGCAGUGAAAUGCGUAGAGACGUGGAGGAACACCGAUGGCGAAGGCAGCCCCCUGGGCCAAUACUGACGCUCAUGCACGAAAGCGUGGGGAGCAAACAGGAUUAGAUACCCCCGUAGUCCCUGUCUCUUAUAC